This 554-nucleotide long non-coding RNA is filed under the name Cinara cedri. The record is from RNAcentral. Lineage: Eukaryota; Metazoa; Arthropoda; Insecta; Hemiptera; Aphididae.
UAUAAUUGUAUGGAAAAUUAGGAUUAUUUUAUAUUAUAACGAAGUAAAACUUAUGUAAAGUGAACACAACCUAAGUACGAAAAAUAAACACUGAAACCUCACAUUGUUCUUAUAUUCUUCUAGAAAAUCAUUUUCAAUAUGAACAGUCUCUAUUGUCCGGUGAGUUUAUUCUAUAAAUCUAUUGAUAUAUUUUAGUAAUUAUAAUUGGAAUAUUUACAUUUAGGUAUACAAGUAGUAACAAUAAUACUGAAAAUAAUACAGUCAAUGAACUAGAAUAUAAUAUUGAAAUUAAUGAACUUUGUGAUUUAUCCUACUAAGAAAUAAUUAUCAAUAUGAAAAAAACUAUAUUAACCAGUAAAAUUAUCAUGUAAAUUAUAUUAAUACACUUUGUUAAUUAAAAUUCCAAUAUUUUCAUUUAGGUACCACAAAGUGUUAUAAUAAUACUGAAAAUCUUGCAGUCAAUGAACUAGAUAGCGACAACUUGGACAAUAUUGAGGCCCUGUACAGUCAUUUUUGCAAGACCUUGAUAAGCUUUAUUUUUGUUUUUUUAUUUU